GACGAACGCUGGCGGCGUGCUUAACACAUGCAAGUCGAACGGAAAGGCCCUGCUUUUGUGGGGUGCUCGAGUGGCGAACGGGUGAGUAACACAUGAGUAACCUGCCCUUGACUUUGGGAUAACUUCAGGAAACUGGGGCUAAUACCGGAUAGGAGCUCCUGCUGCAUGGUGGGGGUUGGAACGUUUCGGCGGUUGGGGAUGGACUCGCGGCUUAUCAGCUUGUUGGUGGGGUAGUGGCUUACCAAGGCUUUGACGGGUAGCCGGCCUGAGAGGGUGACCGGCCACAUUGGGACUGAGAUACGGCCCAGACUCCUACGGGAGGCAGCAGUGGGGAAUAUUGCACAAUGGGCGGAAGCCUGAUGCAGCAACGCCGCGUGCGGGAUGACGGCCUUCGGGUUGUAAACCGCUUUCGCCUGUGACGAAGCGUGAGUGACGGUAAUGGGUAAAGAAGCACCGGCUAACUACGUG
RNAcentral lists this ribosomal RNA (468 nucleotides) under uncultured bacterium. Its description in RNAcentral is "partial 16S ribosomal RNA". It matches the Rfam family "Bacterial small subunit ribosomal RNA", at positions 28 to 507 of the family's 1533-position model. The record is from RNAcentral.